GGCUGAAUCGAGUGUCGUAGCAAGAAUUCUUACUGCCAGCAGUGUAGACAGCGGAGGGACAGAGAAAGAGGUACCUGAAUCGUAGCAGCCUGCAUUAGAGCCAGUGAACACAAGGCAAGAAACCUGCUAUAGUUCCAGACGCUGCACUGAUACCACGAACCCACAGCUUCUCCCGGAGUGCUGCAGUUUCU
RNAcentral lists this long non-coding RNA (191 nucleotides) under Nannospalax galili (Upper Galilee mountains blind mole rat). RNAcentral describes it as "FTX transcript, XIST regulator conserved region 5 (ENSNGAG00000004847.1)". It matches the Rfam family "FTX transcript, XIST regulator conserved region 5". Lineage: Eukaryota; Metazoa; Chordata; Mammalia; Rodentia; Spalacidae. The record is from RNAcentral.